Molecule: ribosomal RNA, 356 nt
Filed under: uncultured bacterium
Lineage: Bacteria
Description: bacterial SSU rRNA
Rfam family: Bacterial small subunit ribosomal RNA
Source: RNAcentral
AGCGAACGCUGGCGGCAGGCUUAACACAUGCAAGUCGAGCGCCCCGCAAGGGGAGCGGCAGACGGGUGAGUAACACGUGGGAACGUGCCUUUUGGUUCGGAACAACUGAGGGAAACUUCAGCUAAUACCGGAUAAGCCCUUACGGGGAAAGAUUUAUCGCCAAAAGAUCGGCCCGCGUCUGAUUAGCUAGUUGGUGGGGUAAUGGCCCACCAAGGCUACGAUCAGUAGCUGGUCUGAGAGGAUGAUCAGCCACAUUGGGACUGAGACACGGCCCAAACUCCUACGGGAGGCAGCAGUGGGGAAUAUUGGACAAUGGGGGCAACCCUGAUCCAGCCAUGCCGCGUGAGUGAUGAAGG